Non-coding RNA from Odocoileus virginianus texanus, 546 nucleotides. NCBI's taxonomy places the organism in Eukaryota, Metazoa, Chordata, Mammalia, Artiodactyla, Cervidae. The record is from the annotation of a RefSeq genome assembly.
CAGAGGAGGCAAGAAUGAUGAAAUCCUCAAGAGUUUUAUUAGUGAUCCUGUGGCUUCAGUUAAUCUCGGUGAGCAGCCCACAGAACACAGUGGAGCAGAGUCCUGCAUCUCUGCCUGUCCCAGAGGGAGACGUCGCCUCUCUCAGCUGCACUUAUCACAGUGGAGCAGAGUCCUGCAUCUCUGCCUGUCCCAGAGGGAGCCGUCGCCUCUCUCAGCUGCACUUAUUCUGACAGUGCUUCUACGUACUUCGAAUGGUACAGACAGUACCCUGGGAAAGGCCCCGAGUUUCUGCUGUACGUAUAUGCCGACAAAGACAAAGAGGAAGGAAAAUUUACAGCGCAGGCCACUAAAGCCAACAAGCAUGUCUCCCUGCUUAUCAGAGACUCCGAGCCCGGCGACUCAGCCACCUACCUCUGUGCAGCGAGCACACAGUGCUCCCCAGGCACCGGCAGCCUGUGCCCAAACCUGCUGGGGCCCCAGCAGUGCCUCGUGGAGAGCUUAGGCUGCAGGGCGCAGACAUCCUGUUACCUCUCUAGAUGUAAAUGA